CCUACGGGUGGCAGCAGUGAGGAAUAUUGGUCAAUGGCCGGAAGGCUGAACCAGCCAAGCCGCGUGAAGGACGAAGGUGCCAAGCAUUGUAAACUUCUUUUGUCAAGGGACAAAAUCAGGCUCGAGAGCCUGACCGAGGGUACUUGAAGAAAAAGCAUCGGCUAACUCCGUUCCAGCAGCCGCGGUAAUACGGAGGAUGCGAGCGGUAUCCGGAUUUAUUGGGUUUAAAGGGUGCGUAGGCGGGCUGUUAAGUCAGCGGUAAAAGCCCGGGGCGCAAGCCCGGCGGGACGUUGAAAAAGGCUGUCUUGAGAUGUCGAGAGGUAGGCGGAAUGCGCAGUGUAGCGGUGCAAUGCUUAGAUAUUGCGCAGAACUCCGAUUGCGAAGGCAGCAUACCGGCGGCGAUCUGACGCUGAGGCACGAAAGCGUGGGUAUCGAACAGGAUUAGAUACCCUGGUAGUC
RNAcentral lists this ribosomal RNA (459 nucleotides) under uncultured bacterium. Its description in RNAcentral is "partial 16S ribosomal RNA". It matches the Rfam family "Bacterial small subunit ribosomal RNA", at positions 338 to 795 of the family's 1533-position model. The record is from RNAcentral.